This 465-nucleotide ribosomal RNA is filed under the name Vreelandella stevensii. RNAcentral's name for it is "partial 16S ribosomal RNA". It matches the Rfam family "Bacterial small subunit ribosomal RNA", at positions 338 to 795 of the family's 1533-position model. The record is from RNAcentral. Lineage: Bacteria; Pseudomonadati; Pseudomonadota; Gammaproteobacteria; Oceanospirillales; Halomonadaceae.
CCUACGGGUGGCUGCAGUGGGGAAUAUUGGACAAUGGGGGGAACCCUGAUCCAGCCAUGCCGCGUGUGUGAAGAAGGCCCUCGGGUUGUAAAGCACUUUCAGUGAGGAAGAACGCCUGGUGGUUAAUACCCAUCAGGAAAGACAUCACUCACAGAAGAAGCACCGGCUAACUCCGUGCCAGCAGCCGCGGUAAUACGGAGGGUGCGAGCGUUAAUCGGAAUUACUGGGCGUAAAGCGCGCGUAGGUGGCUUGAUAAGCCGGUUGUGAAAGCCCCGGGCUCAACCUGGGAACGGCAUCCGGAACUGUCAAGCUAGAGUGCAGGAGAGGAAGGUAAAAUUCCCGGUGUAGCGGUGAAAUGCGUAGAGAUCGGGAGGAAUACCAGUGGCGAAGGCGGCCUUCUGGACUGACACUGACACUGAGGUGCGAAAGCGUGGGUAGCAAACAGGAUUAGAUACCCUUGUAGUC